This 463-nucleotide ribosomal RNA is filed under the name Streptococcus mitis. RNAcentral's name for it is "bacterial SSU rRNA". It matches the Rfam family "Bacterial small subunit ribosomal RNA", at positions 28 to 475 of the family's 1533-position model. Lineage: Bacteria; Bacillati; Bacillota; Bacilli; Lactobacillales; Streptococcaceae. The record is from RNAcentral.
GACGAACGCUGGCGGCGUGCCUAAUACAUGCAAGUAGAACGCUGAAGGAGGAGCUUGCUUCUCUGGAUGAGUUGCGAACGGGUGAGUAACGCGUAGGUAACCUGCCUGGUAGCGGGGGAUAACUAUUGGAAACGAUAGCUAAUACCGCAUAAUAGCAGUUAUUGCAUGAUAACUGUUUGAAAGGUGCAAAUGCAUCACUGCCAGAUGGACCUGCGUUGUAUUAGCUAGUUGGUGGGGUAACGGCUCACCAAGGCGACGAUACAUAGCCGACCUGAGAGGGUGAUCGGCCACACUGGGACUGAGACACGGCCCAGACUCCUACGGGAGGCAGCAGUAGGGAAUCUUCGGCAAUGGACGGAAGUCUGACCGAGCAACGCCGCGUGAGUGAAGAAGGUUUUCGGAUCGUAAAGCUCUGUUGUAAGAGAAGAACGAGUGUGAGAGUGGAAAGUUCACACUGUGACGG